This 674-nucleotide ribosomal RNA is filed under the name Glomeromycotina sp. AB-2014. RNAcentral describes it as "SSU rRNA". It matches the Rfam family "Eukaryotic small subunit ribosomal RNA", at positions 359 to 1016 of the family's 1831-position model. The record is from RNAcentral. Lineage: Eukaryota; Fungi; Glomeromycota.
GUAACGGGGAAUUAGGGUUCGAUUCCGGAGAGGGAGCCUGAGAAACGGGCUACCACAUCCAAGGAAGGCAAGCAAGGCGCGCAAAUUACCCAAAUCCCGACACGGGGGAGGGUAGUGACGAAUAAAUAACAACACAGGGCUCUUUUGGGUACUUGUUAUUGGAAAUGAGUACGAUUUAAUUCUCCUAACGAGGAACGAAUUGGAGGGGCGAAGUCUGGUGCCAGCAGCCGCGGUAAUUCCAGCUCCAAUAGCGUAUAUUAAAGUUGUUGCAGUUAAAAAGCUCGUAGUUGAAUUUCAGGCCUGGCUGGACGGUCCGCCCUUCGGGUGAGUACUGUCUGUGGUCGGGUCCUACCUUCUGGCGAAGCGUCAUGGCCUUAACCGGCCGUGGCGGGGAACCAGGACUUUUACUGUGAAAAAAUUAGAGUGUUCGAAAGCAGGCAUCGCUUGGAUACGAUUAGCGAUGGAAAUGAAUGGAAAUAGGACGAAUGGUUCUAUUUGUUGGUUUCUAGGACCGUUGUAAUGAUUAAUAGGGAUAGUUGGGGCGAUUAGUAUUCGAAUUGUCGAGAGGUGAAAUUUCUUGGAUUUAUUGAAGACUAACUACUGCGAAAGCGUUUGCCGAGGAUGUUUUCAUUAAUCAAGAACGAAAGUUAGGGGAUCGAAGACGAUCAGAUACC